Molecule: ribosomal RNA, 396 nt
Filed under: uncultured bacterium
Lineage: Bacteria
Description: partial 16S ribosomal RNA
Rfam family: Bacterial small subunit ribosomal RNA
Source: RNAcentral
AUACAGAGGGUGCAAGCGUUAAUCGGAAUUACUGGGCGUAAAGCGCGCGUAGGUGGUUCAGUAAGAUGGAAGUGAAAUCCCCGGGCUUAACCUGGGAACUGCUUUCAUAACUGCUGAGCUAGAGUACGGUAGAGGGUAGUGGAAUUUCCUGUGUAGCGGUGAAAUGCGUAGAUAUAGGAAGGAACACCAGUGGCGAAGGCGACUACCUGGACUGAUACUGACACUGAGGUGCGAAAGCGGGGGGAGCAAACAGGAUUAGAUACCCUGGUAGUCCACGCCGUAAACGAUGUCAACUAGCCGUUGGGAACCUUGAGUUCUUAGUGGCGCAGCUAACGCACUAAGUUGACCGCCUGGGGAGUACGGUCGCGAGAUUAAAACUCAAAUGAAUUGGCGGGG